Molecule: non-coding RNA, 76 nt
Organism: Zostera marina
Lineage: Eukaryota; Viridiplantae; Streptophyta; Magnoliopsida; Alismatales; Zosteraceae
Source: the annotation of a GenBank genome assembly
AUGAGGAUAUUGCUUAGAUGGUAAAGUACUUGUUUAGCAUGGGAGAGGUUGUGGGUUCGAUACCCCACUUCUCUAA